AUUAGUGGCGACGGGUGAGUAACACGUGGGCAAUCUGCCCUUCACUCUGGGACAAGCCCUGGAAACGGGGUCUAAUACCGGAUAACACCGGCUUCCGCAUGGGAGCUGGUUGAAAGCUCCGGCGGUGAAGGAUGAGCCCGCGGCCUAUCAGCUUGUUGGUGGGGUAAUGGCCUACCAAGGCGACGACGGGUAGCCGGCCUGAGAGGGCGACCGGCCACACUGGGACUGAGACACGGCCCAGACUCCUACGGGAGGCAGCAGUGGGGAAUAUUGCACAAUGGGCGAAAGCCUGAUGCAGCGACGCCGCGUGAGGGAUGACGGCCUUCGGGUUGUAAACCUCUUUCAGCAGGGAAGAAGCGAAAGUGACGGUACCUGCAGAAGAAGCGCCGGCUAACUACGUGCCAGCAGCCGCGGUAAUACGUAGGGCGCAAGCGUUGUCCGGAAUUAUUGGGCGUAAAGAGCUCGUAGGCGGCUUGUCACGUCGGGUGUGAAAGCCCGGGGCUUAACCCCGGGUCUGCAUCCGAUACGGGCAGGCUAGAGUGUGGUAGGGGAGAUCGGAAUUCCUGGUGUAGCGGUGAAAUGCGCAGAUAUCAGGAGGAACACCGGUGGCGAAGGCGGAUCUCUGGGCCAUUACUGACGCUGAGGAGCGAAAGCGUGGGGAGCGAACAGGAUUAGAUACCCUGGUAGUCCACGCCGUAAACGUUGGGAACUAGGUGUUGGCGACAUUCCACGUCGUCGGUGCCGCAGCUAACGCAUUAAGUUCCCCGCCUGGGGAGUACGGCCGCAAGGCUAAACUCAAGGAAUUGACGGGGGCCCGCACAGCAGCGGAGCAUGUGGCUUAAUUCGACGCAACGCGAAGA
Molecule: ribosomal RNA, 860 nt
Filed under: Streptomyces sp.
Lineage: Bacteria; Bacillati; Actinomycetota; Actinomycetes; Kitasatosporales; Streptomycetaceae
Description: bacterial SSU rRNA
Rfam family: Bacterial small subunit ribosomal RNA
Source: RNAcentral